GACAGAGGGUGCAAACGUUGUUCGGAAUUACUGGGCAUAAAGAGCACGUAGGUGGUCUGCUAAGUCAUGUGUGAAAUCCCCCGGCUCAACCGGGGAAGUUGCGCCUGAUACUGGUAGGCUUGAGGUCGGUAGGGGUGAGUGGAACUCCAGGUGUAGCAGUGAAAUGCGUAGAUAUGUGGAGGAACACCGAUGGCGAAGGCAGCCCCCUGGGCCGAUACUGACACUGAGGUGCGAAAGCGUGGGGAGCAAA
Molecule: ribosomal RNA, 250 nt
Filed under: uncultured bacterium
Lineage: Bacteria
Description: partial 16S ribosomal RNA
Rfam family: Bacterial small subunit ribosomal RNA
Source: RNAcentral